AUGAACAGCUAUCAUUCCAAUCCUCAGGCCCUGCAUCUUUCAGAACAAUUGGCCAUACGUGAAGAUCCAAAAGGUCGUUUCUCCUUACAGCAGGCCACUCUGCGUUUCCGAGGACGCAUUUGGCUCGGUGGUUCUACAGCCUUACAGCAGCAAAUCAUGAGGGCCUUCCAUGACAGUCCGAUAGGGGGACAUUCUGGAUUCCCAGUGACGUAUCGUCGCAUUCGACGUUUGUUUGCUUGGCCUAAGAUGAAACUGCAUAUUCGGCAUUAUGUCAAGUGCUGUCCAGUCUGUCAGCACGCAAAACCCGACAGAGCUGCGAACCCAGGACUAUUGUUGCCACUACCAAUUCCAGCCGCACCGUGGGACUUAAUUACUAUGGAUUUCGUCGAUGGCUUGCCUCAAUCAGGUAAGGCCAACUGCUUUUGGGUGCUCGUGGAUAAAAGGACUCGGUACGCUCAUUUCCUUCCCAUUGCCCACCCUUACACGGCAGCUAAGGUGGCCAAACUAUACAUGCAGCACAUCUAUAAGAUUCAUGGUUUCCCUCGCGCCAUCGUGUCUGACAGAGAUCCAGUCUUUACAAGUCACUUCUGGCAGGAAUUGUUCCGUUAUGCAGGCACUGAGCUACGUUUGAGCAUAGCCAACCACCCGCAGACGGAUGGUCAAACAGAGCGCGUGAAUCAGUGCGUGGAAACCUUUCUCCGCUGUUUCACGCACGCAUGUCCACGUCGUUGGAGUUUCUGGAUUCCCUUGGCACAAUUUUGGUACAAUUCCUCCCACCACUCAGCUAUUGGAAUGUCGCCCUUCAAGGCUCUGUUCGGCUAUGAACCGCAGCAGUGGGGAAUCACAACGACAAGCUCAUGUUCAGUGCCAUCCUUGGAAGCCUGGCUGGAAGAGCGUGCAGUGAUGCAACAGUUGAUCCAACAGCAUUUGCACCACGCUCGACAGUGCAUGAAGAGCAAUGCAGAUAAACACCGCUCUUUUCGGGAAUUUGCCAUGGGGGACAGUGUCUACUUGAAGCUCCAGCCUUACGUGCAAUCUUCGGUGGCCCCGAGGGUAAAUCACAAAUUAUCAUUCAAAUUCUAUGGCCCGUAUCCCAUUAUCGAGAAGAUCAAUGCUGUCGCCUACAAGUUGCAGCUUCCAGCACAGGCGUCUGUCCAUCCCGUUUUCCAUGUGUCUCAACUUUGCUGA
RNAcentral lists this ribosomal RNA (1188 nucleotides) under Triticum aestivum (bread wheat). RNAcentral describes it as "partial small subunit ribosomal RNA". Lineage: Eukaryota; Viridiplantae; Streptophyta; Magnoliopsida; Poales; Poaceae. The record is from RNAcentral.